This is a non-coding RNA of Erythranthe guttata (spotted monkey flower), 873 nucleotides long. NCBI's taxonomy places the organism in Eukaryota, Viridiplantae, Streptophyta, Magnoliopsida, Lamiales, Phrymaceae. The record is from RefSeq and is a predicted model, not a curated record.
CUGACCAAUCAAUGCCAAAGGGGGAGAGUGUUAGAAUCUCGAGCUUCACAAGAAUAUAAAAGGAGGAGCUAAUGCCGACGUUAUUUGCUGAGUCUCUUAUCACGUGGAUAAUUUACCACGUUUUCAUCCACCGCCUUCCAUGUCUAUCAAGCCGAGUAAGCAAAGGGGAAGAAUGAAUGCAUUUACAAGAGGAGCUGCCUAAGGAUCAUUCACAGAGGGAGAUACACAUGCAGGGGGAGCUGACUCCGUUGUGAACCACCUGCCAAAGCCACUACUGUGGGAACAGUUGCUGAAACUGUGGCACUUACUGUUGCAGCAGUUGAUGCCACUCUUGUUGUUGAAAAGAGUUGAUGAUGAUCUUUCGUUUUAUUUGCUUCGGUCUAAUCAUCUGAUUGUUUUAUUUUCAGGUUUUUUACUCAGCGGGACAAAAUAAUUAUAAUCAAUAAACGACAAAGGGGGAGAUUGUUAGAAUCCUAUGGAUUCUAAUUGUACGAGAAUUAAUAAAACUUGUGCCACAAGUUUUCAUAUACCCUGAGCUAAAGAAGGGAAGAGUCCUUGUAGCUUUUAAUUCUUUUAAUUUGUCAUUAAUUGAUUUAUAAUAGGAAUUAUUCUUCUAAAGAGUUUCCUUGUUUUGAAAAUAUUAUUUCCUACGUAAUUAAGAGUUUCCUAACCCUAAUGGACUCUUUUUUCCUUGUAGGAUUCUUAUAACAUGUAGAAGUAUAAAUACAGCAAUACGGCGCCUCAGAUCUCACGUCUUCCUAGAGAGAAAAAUUUACGCAGAAUAUUUUCUUUACUCUCGUUUUUAUUGGCGUCGUUUUGGAGAGAAGCCGAUCUCUCUUUUCUUGGUUGCUGUAGCACGCCUUUUGUUGGAGA